ACUAAUUUCUUGAAACAAUUAAUUCUAUCGUUUUAACUUUAUCAAUAUCACUUACGUCAAUUUUUUAUAAACGUCCAAGAUAUUAAUGCCUUUGUUUUAUCUAAUGACUAUGAAUAUUUUGAAAUUUUAAUGUCAAUAUUUUUUUUUUUUUUUCGUAUUCAGUAUCAAAAGUAUACGAUCAAUUAUCUUAUCAUUCUACCGAAUAACAUAUGACUUACGUUGAAAAGAUCGAGAAAGUUAAACCAUGGUUCCAUAGUUCAUCUUUAUACAAUUUUUUUUUUAUUUUUAAUAUUAAAAUAAGAUAGAUAGUACUUAUUUUUAAAAAUAAGUUUUAUUAUUUAUAAACAUCGUGUGAGAUAAUAUUAACAGCGAUAUUCGCACAAUUGAAAACACGUACGUUUCGCAAAUUUCGCAUAAGUUCUUUACUAUGCAAUUGAAUUUUUGAAAGUAGACCGUACAUUGUAGGAUACCAUGAGCGACAUCUGUUACACGUGUAUUCCCACUGUAUGCUUUGUCUGGAACAGGUAGGAACGGGCUUUCACUGGAUUCUUCGUGUCUUAUUCAUGGCGAGGUGGGCGCGCGCGCUGUCUGCACUGGCAUGGGGAAAAAAAGGAUGACAAGAAAAUCGGAAAUUCCGAGGAUGCGUCGGCGACGGGUAGCAAUGACCUUGGGUCGUGUAUUGACUCGAAUGUUCCAUCUCUUUGUUCCUAACAAUUCGUCGGGAAACUUCUUUCUUGCGGUCUUUCUGCGGAUUCAUAGUCCGCGGCCAUCGAACCGCGCGCCACCAUUCUAUACAGAUGUUCUGUAUGGUCGUUGUAUUCAAGGAUGCUCGAAUAA
Apis florea (little honeybee) is the source of this 837-nucleotide long non-coding RNA. NCBI's taxonomy places the organism in Eukaryota, Metazoa, Arthropoda, Insecta, Hymenoptera, Apidae. The record is from RefSeq and is a predicted model, not a curated record.